ACGUAGGCAGCAAGCGUUGUUCGGAGUUACUGGGCGUAAAGGGUGUGUAGGCGGUUCUUUAAGUUUGGUGUGAAAUCUCCCGGCUCAACCGGGAGGGUGCGCCGAAUACUGAGGGACUAGAGUACGGGAGAGGAAAGUGGAAUUCCUGGUGUAGCGGUGAAAUGCGUAGAUAUCAGGAGGAACACCGGUGGUGUAGACGGCUUUCUGGACCGUAACUGACGCUGAGACACGAAAGCGUGGGUAGCAAACAGGAUUAGAUACCCUGGUAGUCCACGCCCUAAACGAUGCAUAUUUGGUGUGGGCAGUUCAUUCUGUCUGUGCCGGAGCUAACGCGUUAAAUAUGCCGCCUGGGGAGUACAGUCGCAAGGCUG
This 371-nucleotide ribosomal RNA is filed under the name uncultured bacterium. Its description in RNAcentral is "bacterial SSU rRNA". It matches the Rfam family "Bacterial small subunit ribosomal RNA", at positions 525 to 896 of the family's 1533-position model. The record is from RNAcentral.